Molecule: ribosomal RNA, 436 nt
Filed under: uncultured bacterium
Lineage: Bacteria
Description: bacterial SSU rRNA
Rfam family: Bacterial small subunit ribosomal RNA
Source: RNAcentral
GAACGUGUGAGUGAACACGUGGUGUAAUCUGCCCUCGGCACCGGAAUAGCCCGGGGAAACCCGGAUUAAUGCCGGAUGGCUCCUCUGCCCUACGGGGCGGCGAGAAAAGGUAGCUUCGGCCUCCGGCCGGAGGAUGAGCCCUGCGGCCAGAUUAGCUUGUUGGUGAGGUAACGGCUCACCAAGGCGACGAUCGGUAGCUGGUCUGAGAGGACGAUCAGCCACACUGGGACUGAGACACGGUCCAACUCAUACGGGAGGCAGCAGUGGGGAAUCUUGCGCAAUGGGCGAAAGCCUGACGCAGCGACGCCGCGUGCGGGAAGAAGGCCUUCGGGUUGUAAACCGCUUUCAGGAGGGACGAAGCCACUCGGGUUAAUAGCCUAGAGGGUGACGGUACCUCCAGAAGAAGCCCCGGCUAACUACGUGCCAGCCGCCGCGG